UGCCGCUGCUGCUGCUGGAUUGCGUCAAGUGCCGCUGUUUCCUGCUUCCGCUGUUUCCUCCGUGCCCGUCGCUUGGCCUGUUUGCUCAGAACUUUUGUCCAUUCGGGUGCCGGUUCUUGAUACUUGUCCUGGUCCUGUCUGUUGUCCGUAGUCUUGUUCUUGUUUUGUCUGCGUUUGCGUUUCUUUGUCUUUUUGGCUGUCUGUGUGUCUGUGUGUUUAUCUGUUAUGUUGCUUGUCUCAUCGUUUGAGAGGGUCAAGGGUGUGUCCGUGGUCGUAGGGAUGUCUGUUUCAGAGUUUUGUGUGGUUUCGGUCUUUUUGUUUGUUUGUGUUUUGGUGUUUGUGUCUUUUGGUGUUUUUGUCAUUUUGUUUGUGUGGGUCGAAGGGUUGUUUGUUUGGGUGUCUUGUGUGUUUGUUGGUUUGUCCGUUUGUGUGGUGUCUUCGCUGUUUGGGUUUUCUGAUGUUUGGUUUAUCUGUGUUUGUGCCUGUGUUUGUUCCUGUGUCCACUGUUUUACAGCGUUCAACUUGGACAUGGGAUUUGGACCUCAAAUGAGGAAUAGUUCUUAUGUAGUAUCAAUUUACCGUGGUGUUGGAAGUGUCCGCAAUCGGAUAGUGCUAUGGAUUCAGCGCCAAAAUACGUAGCUUAAGGCUAGGUUUUGUUUUACGUUUCGUGUGUUGAUCGCGACCCCGGUCUGUGACGUCAUUGGCUGUUGUGUUGUGGGUGGUGAUGAUGUUUCAAUUGUAUCUUUUAAUAGUGUUUUUUCAUUCUGUUUCUGUUUCAGAACGAAUAAAAAAACAAUGUCAAACAAAGAAGCUGCCCAGCAGGCCAUCGCAAAGCUGAAGCGAAGUAAGUAAAGUGUACUGCAGCGAUUUAUUUUAUAUUUUAUUUACAUUUCUUUAUUCUAAACCAUUUUUUUGCAGUGCCGUGUUUGACCAUCGAAAAGCACAGCACAGCACAGCACCGGUUACCGCCGGAAUUGCCGUACCGGCUGCAUCGUCCAGCGGCAACAACAAUGAUAACGCGCAGCCCGUUGCAUUAGCUGCUGCGUCUAUGCUGCCGGCUCAAAUGCAACGGAGCAAUAUGUUAUGUUGCCGCUGGACGUAGAUAUAACCGAAGAAGAAGCAUGGGAGAACGCUUACGAAAACCCCACACCAUCUGAUGGCACAUCGACGGUCCGACCAGUCGGACAGUCAUUGUUGGUCCGACCAGCGCCAACGGAAAUAUCCGAAUUAUCCGACCAGCUGCGCAAAACCCAAUCGGAGCUGCAGAAAGUAACGGAAGCGUCGAAGGAGAUGCAAGGCCAGCUUAGUGUUUUAAUUAGCAGCUCUGCUCGGCAAAGGCAAGCAUUAGAAGAAUGCUUGGCGGCAAACCGGCCGCGGAAAGGGCUUCUCCCUCGGUCGGACUUUGAGUUAGUACCGGUGAAGAAUGAAGAAGAGCUAGCGACUCUAGAAUUGGCAUUACGGACUGAUCCAGAGUAUAAGGGAAAAGUACAGGCAUAUUUGCUGCGGCAAAUAUAUCGCGCGGAUGUAGACAAUCGCUUGCAUCAGGCAAUCGAUUUGAUUUUCGCCAAACCUUUUUUUGCCCAAAUCAAUUGGACUGGUGUCCGUCCAAUUUGUUUGUUUGUUGCCAAAUGUUUGCCGAUCGGGCGAUUCUUUCCAUCUGCGCGGAUAUAAUGCGUUGCAGUAGCUUUUCCUUAUGCCCCGGAUCUGUGCCUAUUGCCAUAUAAUUCUUCUUCAUCCUUCAGCGGUACUAAUUCAAACGUCACGCAUUCUUGUAAUUGCCUUUGCCGAACAUGUGUUGCGUUGGCUUGCCAUCUUCUGCUUCUCGCUUUGCUUUCUGCAGCUCCAAUUCGGUUUGUUUAGCAGUGGCUGGUCUGGCAAAGAGGAUAAUGGAGCGGUUCGGAAGGAAUUUAGUCGUAUCAUGCGAAAGACUGACGCUGCUUGUAGGUGGCAGCGUAACAAGCGUUGUACAACACAUCCCACUCUUAAUCUAUGAUUAUGUUUACGUGAUAGUGGAUCCCUCUUCCACUAGUUUAUCGUCCGCUAGAAACGAAACGAAACGAAUUUUGUUCGAUCUCACACGACAUAACGACAGUCAUAUAUAAAGUGAAGCCGAUAGAACCAUUAUUCUUGUACAUCACGAAAAAAGCUGUGAUAUCUUUAAAUAUAAGCAAUGUUAUAGAAGUUAGUUACGGACUACAUGAACAAACAGACUCUCGAAAAAAGCUGUGAUAUCUUAAAAUAUAAGCAAUGUAAUAGAAGCUAUUUACGGACUACAUAAACAAACAGACUCUCGAAAAAAGCUGUGAUAUCUUUAAAUAUAAGUAAUGAAAUAGAAGUUAGUUACGGACUACAUGAACAAACAAACAAAAUUGGUUUUUGUUGUUGAUGUUGAUUUUUUUUAUUUUCAGUUUUAUAUUACUCCGCAAAAGUGUGCAGCAAAGGCACUAGUGUCAAAUCGUUGCCACGCUUAGUAACAACCAUUUUGCAGAGCACUUCGUCCGUGCGAAAAUUGACGGAAGCAUUGGCCGACAGGUCAUGGAUGGAUCCCUUGAAAAUAAGCAUAUCGCUUGAAUCCAAGGGAUCAUCAAAAGCGGAUGUUGGGCGCUCCAGCUUUUGACCGAUGAUGAUGAUUUGGCCAGCAUCCGCAUCCAUGCCCAUCGCCGCUGAUUGCAUUUUGACAAUGCUGCCGUCUGUCGUCAACAACCAGCAAUUUUUAUGAUUGUUCAUCAAUGUCAGCUUUUCCCUUACGAAUACCUUUAUCAUCCUACCUCGUACGCUGUACGAUGGAUAGGUAAUUCGCAGGGCGGCCUCUUGAAUCCCGAACUGCUCCACCUCCGAUAUUCUGCCGAUCGCCUGCUCCAAACUUUU
Molecule: RNA transcript, 2868 nt
Organism: Anopheles funestus (African malaria mosquito)
Lineage: Eukaryota; Metazoa; Arthropoda; Insecta; Diptera; Culicidae
Exons: 3
Source: RefSeq, a predicted model, not a curated record